AGAGAUAUGGCUCAGUGGGUAGAGUGCUUGCUUAACAUGCAUGAAGUCCUGGAUUCUAAAUCCCAGUGCUA
RNAcentral lists this transfer RNA (71 nucleotides) under Neotoma lepida (desert woodrat). It matches the Rfam family "tRNA". Rfam says of the family: Transfer RNA (tRNA) molecules are approximately 80 nucleotides in length. Their secondary structure includes four short double-helical elements and three loops (D, anti-codon, and T loops). Lineage: Eukaryota; Metazoa; Chordata; Mammalia; Rodentia; Cricetidae. The record is from Rfam by way of RNAcentral.